This is a non-coding RNA of Podarcis lilfordi (Lilford's wall lizard), 67 nucleotides long. The record is from the annotation of a GenBank genome assembly. NCBI's taxonomy places the organism in Eukaryota, Metazoa, Chordata, Lepidosauria, Squamata, Lacertidae.
GAAGCUCAGUCGGUAGAGCACAAGACUCUUAAUCACAGGCUCAUGAGUUCGAGUCCCAGGUUAGGCA